UGGGGAAUAUUGGACAAUGGGCGCAAGCCUGAUCCAGCCAUGCCGCGUGAGUGAUGAAGGCCCUAGGGUUGUAAAGCUUUUUCACCGGUGAAGAUAAUGACGGUAACCGGAGAAGAAGCCCCGGCUAACUUCGUGCCAGCAGCCGCGGUAAUACGAAGGGGGCUAGCGUUGUUCGGAUUUACUGGGCGUAAAGCGCACGUAGGCGGACUAUUAAGUCAGGGGUGAAAUCCCGGGGCUCAACCCCGGAACUGCCUUUGAUACUGGUAGUCUUGAGUUCGAGAGAGGUGAGUGGAAUUCCGAGUGUAGAGGUGAAAUUCGUAGAUAUUCGGAGGAACACCAGUGGCGAAGGCGGCUCACUGGCUCGAUACUGACGCUGAGGUGCGAAAGCGUGGGGAGCAAACAGG
RNAcentral lists this ribosomal RNA (404 nucleotides) under Actinomycetes bacterium. RNAcentral's name for it is "Actinobacteria bacterium partial 16S ribosomal RNA". It matches the Rfam family "Bacterial small subunit ribosomal RNA", at positions 355 to 776 of the family's 1533-position model. The record is from RNAcentral. Lineage: Bacteria; Bacillati; Actinomycetota; Actinomycetes.